UACGGAGGGUGCUAGCGUUGUUCGGAAUUACUGGGCGUAAAGCGUACGUAGGCGGCUUUGUAAGUUAGAGGUGAAAGCCCGGGGCUCAACUCCGGAAUUGCCUUUAAGACUGCAUCGCUUGAAUCAUGGAGAGGUGAGUGGAAUUCCGAGUGUAGAGGUGAAAUUCGUAGAUAUUCGGAAGAACACCAGUGGCGAAGGCGACUCACUGGACAUGUAUUGACGCUGAGGUACGAAAGCGUGGGGAGCAAACAGG
This 253-nucleotide ribosomal RNA is filed under the name uncultured bacterium. RNAcentral describes it as "partial 16S ribosomal RNA". It matches the Rfam family "Bacterial small subunit ribosomal RNA", at positions 524 to 776 of the family's 1533-position model. The record is from RNAcentral.